AAACCCAUCUCAAAACAAUUAAGAAACAGAAAAGCAAAGUUGUUACUAUUUAAGAAAACAAUCUCCAUUUACUGCAGCUCAAGCAAACUAGCUCUAAUCUGAAAAGCAACUUAUAGGAUUCUGCAGAACUAAUUCUAAAGGAUGUCAACAAUUAGUCCCACAUAGAUACAUUCAGUAUCAUCGGUUCACGAAACAACUAUAUCCAUUUUACUGCAGCUCACACAGACUCUAAAGAUGCCAACAUAUAAUCAAAUCCCCACAUGGGUACAUUUAAUGUAAUCGAUUCUAAUAAUAAACAAACUAUAAGCCUCCACAUCAACACAAUAAACCUCUCUUAUAUUUAGAUUCCUCCAAAAAUCAACACGUUUGACCACACAAAUUCAAACAACGCACGCUAAUGUAUAAACCUCUC
RNAcentral lists this long non-coding RNA (412 nucleotides) under Brassica napus (rape). RNAcentral describes it as "long non-coding RNA (BNAP_LNC023989)". The record is from RNAcentral. Lineage: Eukaryota; Viridiplantae; Streptophyta; Magnoliopsida; Brassicales; Brassicaceae.